AUUGAACGCUGGCGGAAUGCUUUACACAUGCAAGUCGAGCGGCAGCGCGGCCUUCGGGCUGGCGGCGAGCGGCGAACGGGUGAGUAAUGCAUCGGAACAUGCCCAGUCGUGGGGGAUAACACUUCGAAAGAAGUGCUAAUACCGCAUACGUCCUGAGGGGGAAAGCGGGGGAUCGCAAGACCUCGCGCGAUUGGAGUGGCCGAUGUCAGAUUAGCUAGUUGGUGGGGUAAAGGCCUACCAAGGCGACGAUCUGUAGCUGGUCUGAGAGGAUGAUCAGCCACACUGGGACUGAGACACGGCCCAGACUCCUACGGGAGGCGGCAGUGGGGAAUUUUGGACAAUGGGGGCAACCCUGAUCCAGCCAUUCCGCGUGAGUGAAGAAGGCCUUCGGGUUGUAAAGCUCUUUCGGCAGGAACGAAACGGUGGGCUCUAACAUAGUCCGCUAAUGACGGUACCUGAAGAAGAAGCACCGGCUAACUACGUG
RNAcentral lists this ribosomal RNA (484 nucleotides) under uncultured bacterium. Its description in RNAcentral is "partial 16S ribosomal RNA". It matches the Rfam family "Bacterial small subunit ribosomal RNA", at positions 29 to 507 of the family's 1533-position model. The record is from RNAcentral.